AGGACGAACGCUGGCGGCGUGCUUAACACAUGCAAGUCGAGCGGAAAGGCCCUUCGGGGUACUCGAGCGGCGAACGGGUGAGUAACACGUGAGUAAUCUGCCCCUAGCUCUGGGGAUAGCUCCGGGAAACCGGGAUUAAUACCGGAUACGACUGCUACGGACAUCUGUGGUGGUGGAAAGAACUUCGGCUAGGGAUGAGCUCGCGGCCUAUCAGCUUGUUGGUGGGUAACGGCCUACCAAGGCGACGACGGGUA
This 254-nucleotide ribosomal RNA is filed under the name uncultured bacterium. Its description in RNAcentral is "partial small subunit ribosomal RNA". It matches the Rfam family "Bacterial small subunit ribosomal RNA", at positions 26 to 285 of the family's 1533-position model. The record is from RNAcentral.